RNAcentral lists this long non-coding RNA (714 nucleotides) under Crocodylus porosus (Australian saltwater crocodile). RNAcentral describes it as "lncRNA (ENSCPRG00005017612.1)". Lineage: Eukaryota; Metazoa; Chordata; Crocodylia; Crocodylidae. The record is from RNAcentral.
UGCAGCGUGCCAUUGUCGUACGGAGGGGUGACUUGCAUUACAUCCUCAAGUACAAGCGUCUUGAAAAGCGCCACAAGAACAUGUCUGCGCACCUGCCCCCCCGCUUCAGAAUUCCCCUUUGCCUUCCAGAGCUGUCCAAAUUGGGGAUAUUGUGACUGUUGGGGAAUGUCGAACCUAUCAGCCAGAUUACUGAUUCAACAUCUGCAAAGUCAUAAGGGCAGCUGGCACCAAGAAGCUGCUCCAGAAGUUUUAAAGGCAGCAAGUGGAGAAUGUUCAGAAUGAAUAAAGCUUUUCUUAAACCUAGGGAUUUCAUUACCAAAAAAACCAAAACCCACCAGGUUGGGGAUGCCAAAAUGUAUGAGAUAAUUUGACUGGGGACCGGGAUACCUCCCCCACUGGAAUUGCAGAUGGACCCAGGGGAGGCACUGCCAGGCCUAGGGUCAGGGAGGACCUAGUUAGGGAACUUUUGGAGGGGCUGUGCAUGUUUAAAUCAUAGUCAGAUGGCUACUGCCGGAGCCCUGGGAGAUCCCUAGGAUCCCAUGUAAGGCUGCUCUGGCCAUCCCAGAUGCUGGCCCCAGCCUCCCCUACCCCACCCAGAGCAACUUGCUGCAUGUCAAAAAUAUGUGCUGCUGCUCAUCCCUGGGGACUGCAUGCUCAUGGGGAUGUGCCCACUUGGAGUUAAAAAUAAAAUAGAACAAAAGGAAAGUGCUGCCA